AUGGAACGACAAGCCCACAACAGAAGAAGAAACACACCCAUUCGGGUGCGGCCCAGGAAAGCACCACAAACCCCACAGCCACUCUCUCCACCGCUAAGCCGCCGCCCUUCUCGCCCCCGCCGCCGCCCCCGGGCCGCCGCCGCAGCCAUGCUCCCGCUCGCCCGCACGGCCCUCCGCCGCCUCGGCCCCGCGGCCGCGGGGGACGGCUCCCUCCCCGGCCGCCUCCUCCUCCUGGCGCCGCUCGCCUCCAAGCCGUCGUCGUCCACGCCGCCGGAGUACCAGAUGCCGUCGGUGACGUGGGGCGUGAUCCAGGGCCGCAGGGAGCGGCUCGUGUCCCGCGUCCUCGCGCUCGACUUCCUCCGCUCGGCCGGCGUCACCGACCCCGCGGGCGAGCUGGAGGCCGUCGAGCUCCCCUCCUCCCUCGACGUGCUGCAGGAGCGCCUCGACUUCCUCCUCCGCCUCGGCCUCUCCACCGACGACCUCUCCGCCUACCCGUUCCUCCUCGCCUGCUCCCUCCGCAAGAACGUCAUCCCCGUCCUCUCCUACCUCGAGAAGCUCGGGGUCACGCGCGCCCGCCUCGCCGCCUUCGUCCGCGCCUACCCGGCCUGCCUCCACGCCUCCGUCGCCGUCGACCUCGCCCCCAUCGUCAAGGCGCUCCGCGGCCUCGACGUCGACCGCCAGGACAUCCCCCGCGUCCUCGAGCGCUACCCGGACGUGCUCGGACUCAAGCCCGACGGCACCAUCAGCACCUCCGUGGCCUACCUCGUAGGCAUCGUCGGCGUCGCGCCGCGUGACAUUGGCCCCAUGGUGACGCACUACCCUUUCUUCCUUAGCAUGCGUGUUGGCACCACGAUCAAGCCGUUCUGUGAUUACAUCACAUCUCUCGGGCUGCCGAUGCGGAUUCUCGCGAGGAUUAUUGAGAAGCGGCCAUACAUUCUUGGCUAUGAUCUUGAGGAGACGGUAAAACCAAAUGUGGAGGCAUUACUCAGCUUCGGCAUUCGGAAGGAGGUGCUGCCACUCAUGAUUGCACAGUACCCAUCCAUUCUUGGGUUGCCCCUGAAAGUGAAGCUAGCGGCACAGCAAUACUUCUUCAACCUGAAGCUCAAAAUGGACCCUGAUGGGUUUGCCCGAGCUGUCGAGAAACUGCCGCAGCUCGUGAGCUUGCAUCAGAAUGUGAUACUGAAGCCCGUGGAGUUCCUCCGCGGCCGGGGGAUCACUGAUGAUGAUAUUGGGCGUAUGUUGAUCCGGUGCCCCCAAAUUCUUCUGCUGCGGAAUGAGCUCAUGAAGAACAGCUUUUACUUCUUCAAGAGUGAGCUGAAGCGGCCAAUAAGUGAGCUUCUGGAGUACCCAGAGUAUUUUACAUACAGCUUGGAGUCAAGGAUCAAGCCUAGGUACAUGAGAGUGGCAAGCAAGGGGAUCAGAUGUAGCUUGGAUUGGUUUCUGAACUGCAGCGAUCAGAGGUUUGAGGAAAGGAUGCGAGGGGAUUUUAUUGAAGGGGAUGCACCAGGUCCUUCGUUUACAAUGGGUGGGAAGCUUCAGAUGCCUGGCAACCAGUUAGUGUCGGAUGAUGAUAAUGAGGAAAGCGACGAUGAGGUGCUAUAUAGGCGGACCGUCAUGCUCUAA
RNAcentral lists this ribosomal RNA (1623 nucleotides) under Triticum aestivum (bread wheat). RNAcentral describes it as "partial small subunit ribosomal RNA". The record is from RNAcentral. Lineage: Eukaryota; Viridiplantae; Streptophyta; Magnoliopsida; Poales; Poaceae.